UACGUAGGGGGCAAGCGUUGUCCGGAAUCAUUGGGCGUAAAGCGCGCGUAGGCGGCCCGGCAAGUCCGCUGUGAAAGUCCAGGGCUCAACCCUGGGAUGCCGGUGGAUACUGUCGGGCUCGAGUCCGGAAGAGGCGAGUGGAAUUCCUGGUGUAGCGGUGAAAUGCGCAGAUAUCAGGAGGAACACCCGUGGCGAAAGCGGCUCUCUGGGACGGUGCUGACGCUGAGACGCGAAAGCGUGGGGAGCAAACAGG
This 253-nucleotide ribosomal RNA is filed under the name uncultured bacterium. Its description in RNAcentral is "partial 16S ribosomal RNA". It matches the Rfam family "Bacterial small subunit ribosomal RNA", at positions 524 to 776 of the family's 1533-position model. The record is from RNAcentral.